RNAcentral lists this ribosomal RNA (277 nucleotides) under uncultured bacterium. RNAcentral's name for it is "partial 16S ribosomal RNA". It matches the Rfam family "Bacterial small subunit ribosomal RNA", at positions 76 to 353 of the family's 1533-position model. The record is from RNAcentral.
UCAAACUGAAGAUGGCGACCGGCGCACGGGUGAGUAACACGUAUCCAACCUGCCGAUAACUCCGGAAUAGCCUUUCGAAAGAAAGAUUAAUACCGGAUGGCAUACGAAUAUCGCAUGAUAUUUUUAUUAAAGAAUUUCGGUUAUCGAUGGGGAUGCGUUCCAUUAGUUUGUUGGCGGGGUAACGGCCCACCAAGACUACGAUGGAUAGGGGUUCUGAGAGGAAGGUCCCCCACAUUGGAACUGAGACACGGUCCAAACUCCUACGGGAGGCAGCAUG